RNAcentral lists this long non-coding RNA (1233 nucleotides) under Mytilus galloprovincialis (Mediterranean mussel). The record is from RNAcentral. Lineage: Eukaryota; Metazoa; Mollusca; Bivalvia; Mytilida; Mytilidae.
GUACAAGUAGUUGGAACCCCUCCUUUGUCCUGGGUUAGGACCCCUCUUUUAAAUGGCUGGAUCCGCCCCUGGGGGAAACUGUUCAGCUUAUCAUUUUCUAGUUGAAUUUGUUGUUUGUCAUUACAAAAUCAUUUUAAAGUUUACAUUUGCUGUUAGGGGUCAUGGUCUUUGAUAGAUCAACACCUCUUUAGAUAAGUUAAGAACCGCUAAAAAAAACUGUGUGUGGUGACAAAAUAGCGGUUCCUUUCCAUUUAGAGAAAUUCCACUUGUACUGUUUAUGAGUUGUGGCACGUGUUUGUUUUCAAUUUAAUCGUUAUAUCAAGUAAUAGCUUUAAAAAAAAAGCUAACCGUCUCUUAGCGGAUGAAAAUGGAAAGUGUUCUCGCUUUGUAGAUUAAUUCUUUCAGAAUAGCCUUGCAUAUCAAUCAACAAAUUUUACCACAUACUAGUACGUGAGUUCACACGUUAUGAAGUAGUGUAUCGUUUAAUGUUGUGUGUGUUUACAAAACUCCAGGAGAUUCGGAUAUUUAUAGAUAAAAGUUACCUGUGUACCAAUAUGCAUAAUUUAUGACAAGGCAAAAUCUAAUUUCUAAAAUAGAGAGGACAAAUCCGAUACUCUACGGGAUUGAAAGACAUUUACUAGGUUUGGAUUGUCCCAACCAAUCAACGAACUUUAAUUAUUCACGUCUCAGUAAUAUCUUCCAAUCAGGUAGUAAGAAGCCUUCAGCCCGCAGACUGACCAACGUUCAAUUCUUAAUAACGUCUCCGAGGAGACGUUAAUGAUUUUUAGUCAUUCACUAAAAUCGUUUCAUAUUUUAAAUGAAUUUAUACGUCUUCUUCAAUGUAAAUACAUGACCACACCCUUCAUAUAUAAACCUAUAUGUAAACACAUUUUACUCGUGAUUAUGCUAGGAGCCGUCUAUAACUUGCAGUGAGGUGAAAAUUUUUCUCCAUAUUGAAGGUCUCGCUGUAACUUAUAGAUGGAGAAUAUCAAUUCAACUGUUUACCUUUGCCCUCGUUUCUUUUCCCCCUUUUUUGCAUAUCGAUUUUGUGUCAUGAAUUUCAACCAAUGGUAUUUUCCAUUUUGUAUGAGUAUUUUGAAUAUGUGGUAUGAUUGCCAAUGAGGCAACUCUCCACCGGUGCCCAAAUGACAUAGAAUUAUGAAAGGCUUUUACGGUCCAUGGAUAAAACAUUGACAGAGAAGUUUUAAUUUGUAGUAUUUUAAUCAAAUGUAU